RNAcentral lists this ribosomal RNA (1331 nucleotides) under metagenome. Its description in RNAcentral is "bacterial LSU rRNA". It matches the Rfam family "Bacterial large subunit ribosomal RNA", at positions 1566 to 2905 of the family's 2925-position model. The record is from RNAcentral.
UCCCUAUUUUUAUGCAAGUAAAAAUAGCUAGUGAUGUCAAACUUCCAAGAAAAGCUUGUACACUAUUAACAAUAAAAUUACCUGUACCUAAAACCGACACAGGUAGGUUGGUAGAGAAUACCAAGGGGCGCGAGAGAACUCUCUCUAAGGAACUCGGCAAACUGGCCCCGUAACUUCGGAAGAAGGGGCGCCCUUGUAAUAAAGGGUCGCAGUGACCAGGCCCGGGUGACUGUUUAUCAAAAACACAGGUCUCCGCAAAGUCGUAAGACAAUAUAUGGGGGCUGACGCCUGCCCAGUGCUGGAAGGUUAAGGAAGUUGGUUAUUCUUUUUAAGAAAAAGCUGACGACCGAAGCCCCAGUGAACGGCGGUCGUAACGAUAACGAUCCUAAGGUAGCGAAAUUCAUUGUCGAGUAAGUUUCGACCUGCACGAAAGGCGUAACAAUCUGGGCACUGUCUCGGAGAGAGGCUCGGUGAAAUAGACUUGUCCCGUGAAGAUGCGGACUACCUACACCUGGACAGAAAGACCCUAUGAAGCUUGACUGUAUCCUGGAAUUGGGUUCGGGCUUUUCUUGCGCAGCCUAGGUGGGAGGCUAUGAAGGUUCCCUUCCGGGGGGACAUGAGCCAACAUUGAGAGACCACUCUGGAAGAGCUAGAAUCCUAAUGGUGAUCUUUGAAUCAAGACACUUGACAGUUUCAGGUGGGCAGUUUCUCUGGGGCGGAGGCCUCCUAAAAGGUAACGGAGGCGUGCAAAGGUUCCCUCAGCCUGGACGGAAAUCAGGCCUUGAGUGUAAAGGCAAAAGGGAGCUUGACUGCAAGACCAACAAGUCGAGCAGUGGCGAAAGCCGGCCUUAGUGAUCCGACGGUGCCGUGUGGAAGGGCCGUCGCUCAACGGAUAAAAGUUACUCUAGGAUAACAGGCUGAUCUUCCCCAAGAGUUCACAUCGACGGGAAGGUUUGGCACCUCGAUGUCGGCUCAUCACAUCCUGGAGCGGUAGUACGUUCCAAGGGUUGGGCUGUUCGCCCAUUAAAGUGGUACGUGAGCUGGGUUCAGAACGUCGUGAGACAGUUCGGUCCAUAUCCGGUGUAGGCGUUAGAGCAUUGAGAGGAGCGUUUCAUAGUACGAGAGGACCUGAAACGACAUGCCAAUGGUGUACCAGUUCUCACUCCAGUGGGAGACGCUGGGUAGCUAUGCAUGGAGACGAUAAAAGCUGACAGCAUCUAAGUUUGAAGCUCACCUCAAGAUGAGUGCUCUCCAUUAGGUCGCGGGAAGACAACCCGUUUAAUAGGCAUUAGGUCUACGGUUAGCAAUGGCCUCAGCCGAGAUGUACUAAA